GAUGAACGCUGGCGGCGUGCCUAAUACAUGCAAGUCGAGCGAACAGACGAGAGUGCUUGCCCUCUCUGACGUUAGCGGCGGACGGGUGAGUAACACGUGGGUAACCUACCUAUAAGACUGGGAUAACUUCGGGAAACCGGAGCUAAUACCGGAUAAUAUUUAGCUUCGCAUGAAGCAAUAGUGAAAGACGGUUCUGCUAUCACUUAUAGAUGGACCCGCGGUGUAUUAGCUAGUUGGUGAGGUAACGGCUCACCAAGGCAACGAUACAUAGCCGACCUGAGAGGGUGAUCGGCCACACUGGGACUGAGACACGGCCCAGACUCCUACGGGAGGCAGCAGUAGGGAAUCUUCCGCAAUGGACGAAAGUCUGACGGAGCAAUGCCGCGUGAGUGAAGAAGGUUUUCGGAUCGUAAAACUCUGUUGUAAGGGAAGAACAAGUACGUUAGUAACUGAACGUACCUUGACGGUACCUUACCAGAAAGCCACGGCUAACUACGUG
Molecule: ribosomal RNA, 499 nt
Filed under: uncultured bacterium
Lineage: Bacteria
Description: partial 16S ribosomal RNA
Rfam family: Bacterial small subunit ribosomal RNA
Source: RNAcentral